AGCGAACGCUGGCGGCAGGCCUAACACAUGCAAGUCGAACGGUGAUGCUCCAGCUUGCUGGAGUGGAUCAGUGGCGAACGGGUGAGUAACACGUGAGCAACCUGCCCCAGACUCUGGAAUAAGCGCUGGAAACGGCGUCUAAUACUGGAUACGAAACUGGCCCGCAUGGGCAUGGUUUGGAAAGUUUUUCGGUUUGGGAUGGGCUCGCGGCCUAUCAGCUUGUUGGUGAGGUAAUGGCUCACCAAGGCGACGACGGGUAGCCGGCCUGAGAGGGCGACCGACCACACUGGGACUGAGACACGGCCCAGACUCCUACGGGAGGCAGCAGUGGGGAAUAUUGCACAAUGGGCGAAAGCCUGAUGCAGCGACGCCGCGUGAGGGAUGACGGCCUUCGGGUUGUAAACCUCUUUCAGCAGGGAAGAAGCGAAAGUGACGGUACCUGCAGAAGAAGCACCGGCUAACUACGUG
This 468-nucleotide ribosomal RNA is filed under the name uncultured bacterium. Its description in RNAcentral is "partial 16S ribosomal RNA". It matches the Rfam family "Bacterial small subunit ribosomal RNA", at positions 29 to 507 of the family's 1533-position model. The record is from RNAcentral.